This is a small nuclear RNA of Choloepus hoffmanni (Hoffmann's two-fingered sloth), 101 nucleotides long. The record is from Ensembl. Lineage: Eukaryota; Metazoa; Chordata; Mammalia; Pilosa; Megalonychidae.
GUGUUUGCUUUGGCAGCACAUAUACUAAAACUGGAAUGAUACAGAGAAGAUUAGCAUGGCCCCUGCAUGAGAUGCAAGUUCAUGAAGCGUUCCAUAUUUUU